This 505-nucleotide ribosomal RNA is filed under the name uncultured bacterium. RNAcentral's name for it is "partial 16S ribosomal RNA". It matches the Rfam family "Bacterial small subunit ribosomal RNA", at positions 28 to 507 of the family's 1533-position model. The record is from RNAcentral.
GACGAACGCUGGCGGCGUGCCUAAUACAUGCAAGUCGGACGCAAGGAAACACACUGUGCUUGCACACCGUGUUUUCUUGAGUCGCGAACGGGUGAGUAACGCGUAGGUAACCUGCCUAUUAGCGGGGGAUAACUAUUGGAAACGAUAGCUAAUACCGCAUAAUAUUAAUUAUUGCAUGAUAAUUGAUUGAAAGAUGCAAGCGCAUCACUAGUAGAUGGACCUUCGUUGUAUUAGCUAGUUGGUAAGGUAAGAGCUUACCAAGGCGACGAUACAUAGCCGACCUGGGAAGGUGGUCGGCCACACUGGGAGUGAGACACGGCCCAGACUGCUACGGGAAGCGGCAGGAGGGAAACGUCGGCCAGGGACGAAAGGCAGAGCGAGCAACGCCGCGGGAGGGAAGAAGGUCGUCGGAUCGGAAAGCACGGUUGUAAGUCAAGAACGUGUGUGAGAGUGUAAAGUUCACACAGUGACGGUAGCUGACCAGAAAGGGACGGCUAACUACGUG